Molecule: ribosomal RNA, 510 nt
Filed under: uncultured bacterium
Lineage: Bacteria
Description: bacterial SSU rRNA
Rfam family: Bacterial small subunit ribosomal RNA
Source: RNAcentral
GAUGAACGCUAGCGACAGGCCUAACACAUGCAAGUCGAGGGGCAGCACAAAGUAGCAAUACUUGGUGGCGACCGGCGCACGGGUGAGUAACACGUAUGCAACCUACCUGUAAGCGGGGAAUAACCCGGAGAAAUUCGGACUAACACCGCAUAAUACUGAAUUACUGCAUGGUUUUUCAGUUAAAUAUUUAUAGCUUACAGAUGGGCAUGCGUAUGAUUAGAUAGUUGGUAGGGUAACGGCCUACCAAGUCAACGAUCAUUAGGGGUUCUGAGAGGAAGGUCCCCCACACUGGUACUGAGACACGGACCAGACUCCUACGGGAGGCAGCAGUGAGGAAUAUUGGUCAAUGGGCGAGAGCCUGAACCAGCCAAGUCGCGUGAAGGAAGAAGGUUCUAUGGAUUGUAAACUUCUUUUGUAAGGGAAUAAAAAGAGUACGUGUACUCUAUUGUAUGUACUUUACGAAUAAGGAUCGGCUAACUCCGUGCCAGCAGCCGCGGUAAAACGUGCGUG